CGACGUGACCAUUCUAUUAUGACGAAGGCUUGGAGGGAAUUAGGACUGUGGCGCACGCAAUCGCUACAGUGUCCCCGCGGGGUAAUUUAAUACUCCGAAUAAAAUAUAUAUAGCAGGAGAGUAUGGGACCAGCCGCUCACUGUUGCUGUCGAACCGUUAGCCAAAAGCGAGAGGUGGGACGCCGUCUUAAUUACGGCCGAAAGCCGUUUCAGAUGACAGCAAUCAUUGGGAUCCUCUCUCCUCUCUCUCUCUCGCUCUCUCAAUCCCAAGGACGUUUUGGACGACAACGACAGGUGGCAAUGAGUUGAACGUUGGUUUACUUGACCCGAGCCCAAGUCCACCAUUUCACAUGACUCAUCAUGGACCGUCCGAUCUAUUGGUUAAACAGGGAAGUAGAAGUCACGUUUUGGCUCUAAGAUUCACAUUUGAUCACAUGCAUGCAAGUUGAAUGUUAACAUACUUGACCCGGGUCC
Molecule: long non-coding RNA, 473 nt
Filed under: Elaeis guineensis (African oil palm)
Lineage: Eukaryota; Viridiplantae; Streptophyta; Magnoliopsida; Arecales; Arecaceae
Description: long non-coding RNA (EGUI_LNC043077)
Source: RNAcentral